UAAACCUCUUUCGGCAGGGACGAAGCGAUCAGUGACGGUACCUGCAGAAGAAGCCCCGGCUAACUACGUGCCAGCAGCCGCGGUAAGACGUAGGGGGCGAGCGUUGUCCGGAUUUAUUGGGCGUAAAGCGUGCGUAGGCGGCUGCGCAAGUCGGGUGUGAAACCCCGGGGCUCAACCCCGGAACUGCAUCCGAUACUGCGUGGCUAGAGGUAGGUAGGGGAGAUCGGAAUUCCUGGUGUAGCGGUGAAAUGCGCAGAUAUCAGGAGGAACACCGGUGGCGAAGGCGGAUCUCUGGGCCUUACCUGACGCUCAGGCACGAAAGCUAGGGGAGCGAACAGGAUUAGAUACCCUGGUAGUCCUAGCCGUAAACGUUGGGUGCUAGGUGUGGGCGGAUAUCGACCCCGUCCGUGCCGAAGCUAACGCAUUAGCACCCCGCCUGGGGAGUACGG
Molecule: ribosomal RNA, 449 nt
Filed under: uncultured bacterium
Lineage: Bacteria
Description: bacterial SSU rRNA
Rfam family: Bacterial small subunit ribosomal RNA
Source: RNAcentral